AGAGUUCGAUCCUGGCUCAGGAUGAAUGCUGGCGGCAUGCUUAACACAUGCAAGUCGGACAGGAAGUGGUGUUUCCAGUGGCGGACAGGUGAGUAACACAUAAGAACCUGCCAUUGGGAGGGGAACAACAGCUGGAAAUGGCUGCUAAUACCCCAUAGGUUGAGGAGUAAAAGGAGGAAUCCACCCGAGGAGGGGCUUGCAUCUAAUUAGCUAGUUGGUGAGGCAAUAGCUUACCAAGGCGAUGAUCAGUAGCUGGUCUGAGAGGAUGAUCAGCCACACUGGGACUGAGACACGACUCAGACUCCUACGAGAGGCAGCAAAGGGGAAUUUUCUAUAAUGGGUGAAAGCUUAAUGGAGCAAUGCCGCGUGAAGGUAGAAGGCCUACGGGUCAUGAACUUUUUUUCUGGAGAAGAAACAAUGACGGUAUCUAGGGAAUAAGCAUCGGCUAACUCUGUGCCAGCAGCCGUGAUAAUACAAAGAAUGCAAGUGUUAUCUGGAAUGAUUGGGCAUAAAGCAUUUGUAGGUGGCUUUUUAUGUCUGCCGUCAAAUCCCAGGGCUCAACCCUGGACAGGCGGUGGAAACUACCAAGUUGGAGUACGGUAGGGGUAGAGGGAAUUUUCAGUGGAGCAGUGAAAUGUGUAGAGAUUGGAAAGAACACCAAUGGCGAAAGCACUUUGCUAGGCUGACAUUGACAUUGAGAGACGAAAGCUAGGGGAGCAAAUGGGAUUAGAUACCUUAGUAGUCCUAGCCGUAAACGAUGGAUACUAGGCGCUGUGCGUAUCGAUCCAUGCAGUGCUGUAGUUAACGCGUUAAAUAUCCCAUUUGGGGAGUACAUUUGUAAGAAUGAAACUCAAAGGAAUUGACGGGGGCCUGCACAAGUGGUGGAGCAUGUGGUUUAAUUUGAUGCAAAGAGAAGAACCUUACUAGGGCUUGACAUGCCGUGAAUCCCCUUGAAAGAGAGGGGUGCCUUUGGGAACCCAGACACAGGUGGUGCAUGGCUAUCAUCAGCUCAUGCCGUAAGGUGUUGGGUUAAGUCCACAAUGAGCAUAACCCUCGUGUGUAGUUGUCACCGUUGAGUUUGGAAUCCUGAGCAGACUGACGGUGAUAAGCUGGAGGAAGGUGAGGAUGAUGUCAAGUCAUCAUGUCCCUUAUGACCUGGGCAACACACGUGCUACAAUGGCCAGGAAAAAGGGUUGCGAUCCCGCGAAGGUGAUCUAAGUCCAAAAACCCAUCUUCAGUUUGGAUUGUAGGCUGCAACUUGCCUACAUGAAGCUGGAAUCGCUAGUAAUCGCCGAUUAGCCAUACAUCGGUGAAUUUGUUCCUGGGCCUUGUACACAUCGCCCGUCACACUAUGGGUGCUGGCCAUGCCUGAAGUCGUUACCUUAACCGCAAGGAGGGGGAUGCCGAAGGCAGGGCUAGUGAUUAGAGUGAAGUCAUAACAAGGUAGCCAUACUGGAAGGUGCAGCUG
Molecule: ribosomal RNA, 1468 nt
Filed under: Ziziphus jujuba (common jujube)
Lineage: Eukaryota; Viridiplantae; Streptophyta; Magnoliopsida; Rosales; Rhamnaceae
Description: bacterial SSU rRNA
Rfam family: Bacterial small subunit ribosomal RNA
Source: RNAcentral